CGGCCCUCUGCACUCAACUCCCUCAUGGGCCCGUAUUCACAAAGCGUCUCAGUAAGAGUGCUGGUGUAUGAUCAGCCCUCCUGUUCUGAGACAUGGAGCGGGCAACCAAUCCCUGUGUAGACAGUCAUACAGAGCUGACAGGGAGAAGGUGGAAGGAGAGGGACGAGACAGAAGAGAGGGAGAGUGGUAAAGGGAGAAGGUGGAAGGAGAGGGACGAGACAGAAGAGAGGGAGUGUGGUAAAGGGAGAAGGUGGAAGGAGAGGGACGAGACAGAAGAGAGGGGGAGUGGUAAAGGGAGAAGGUGGAAGGAGAGGGACGAGACAGAAGAGAGGGAGAGUGGUAAAGGGAGAAGGUGGAAGGAGAGGGACGAGACAGAAGAGAGGGAGAGUGGUAAAGGGAGAAGGUGGAAGGAGAGGGACGAGACAGAAGAGAGGGAGAGUGGUAAAGGGAGAAGGUGGAAGGAGAGGGACGAGACAGAAGAGAGGGAGAGUGGUAAAGGGAGAAGGUGGAAGGAGAGGGACGAGACAGAAGAGAGGGAGUGGUAAAGGGAGAAGGUGGAAGGAGAGGGACGAGACAGAAGAGAGGGAGAGUGGUAAAGGGAGAAGGUGGGUAGGAGAGGGACGAGACAGAAGAGAGGGAGAGGGGGAGUGGUAAAGGGAGAAGGAAAAGAUAGAGGAGUGCAGUAGAGGGAAGGGAAGGGAAGGUCCCUCCGAGACGUAGGGUUGAGAGGGGAGGGGAUGGAGAUCGAGACGGCCUGGAAGGAGAAAGAGAGAGCAGUCUCACCGUGAUUCCCUCCGCUUCGUA
Oncorhynchus keta (chum salmon) is the source of this 804-nucleotide long non-coding RNA. RefSeq lists it as uncharacterized. The record is from RefSeq and is a predicted model, not a curated record. The transcript is spliced from 8 exons. Lineage: Eukaryota; Metazoa; Chordata; Actinopteri; Salmoniformes; Salmonidae.